Molecule: ribosomal RNA, 253 nt
Filed under: uncultured bacterium
Lineage: Bacteria
Description: partial 16S ribosomal RNA
Rfam family: Bacterial small subunit ribosomal RNA
Source: RNAcentral
UACGUAGGGUGCAAGCGUUGUCCGGAAUUAUUGGGCGUAAAGAGCUCGUAGGCGGUUUGUCGCGUCUGCUGUGAAAACCCGAGGCUCAACCUCGGGCCUGCAGUGGGUACGGGCGGACUAGAGUGCGGUAGGGGAGAUUGGAAUUCCUGGUGUAGCGGUGGAAUGCGCAGAUAUCAGGAGGAACACCGAUGGCGAAGGCAGAUCUCUGGGCCGUAACUGACGCUGAGGAGCGAAAGCAUGGGGAGCGAACAGG